RNAcentral lists this ribosomal RNA (253 nucleotides) under uncultured bacterium. Its description in RNAcentral is "partial 16S ribosomal RNA". It matches the Rfam family "Bacterial small subunit ribosomal RNA", at positions 524 to 776 of the family's 1533-position model. The record is from RNAcentral.
UACAGAGGUGGCAAGCGUUGUUCGGAAUUACUGGGCGUAAAGGGCGCGUAGGCGGCCUUCUAAGUCAGACGUGAAAUCCCUCGGCUUAACUGGGGAACUGCGUCUGAUACUGGAUGGCUUGAGUUUGGGAGAGGGACGCGGAAUUCCAGGUGUAGCGGUGAAAUGCGUAGAUAUCUGGAGGAACACCGGUGGCGAAGGCGGCGUCCUGGACCAACACUGACACUGAUGAGCGAAAGCCAGGGGAGCAAACGGG